RNAcentral lists this ribosomal RNA (245 nucleotides) under uncultured bacterium. Its description in RNAcentral is "partial 16S ribosomal RNA". It matches the Rfam family "Bacterial small subunit ribosomal RNA", at positions 524 to 768 of the family's 1533-position model. The record is from RNAcentral.
UUCAGAGGUGGCGAGCGUUGUUCGGAUUUACUGGGCGUAAAGGGUGCGUAGGCGGCCCUGUGUGUCGGGCGUGAAAUCCUGCCGCUUAACGGCAGAACGCCGUCCGAAACUACAGGGCUAGAGUGCAGGAGAGGAAAGCGGAAUUCUUGGUGUAGCGGUGGAAUGCGUUGAUAUCAAGAGGAACACCGGUGGCGAAGGCGGCUUUCUGGAAUGCAACUGACGCUGAGGCACGAAAGUUGGGGGAG